AUUCCGUGAUGAGAGCAUUUUUGUAAUAGUUCUUUAAAUUUUUCCCACUCCUAAUACAAGGACUCGUCAUCCAUCUGUUGGAAGGUAGUGAUCUCAUUAUGCAACU
This is a non-coding RNA of Gossypium hirsutum (cotton), 106 nucleotides long. NCBI's taxonomy places the organism in Eukaryota, Viridiplantae, Streptophyta, Magnoliopsida, Malvales, Malvaceae. The record is from Rfam.